GGAGAAAUACUCAAGUGGCUGAAGAGGCGCCCCUGCUAAGGGUGUAGACCGGGCGACCGGUGCGCGGGUUCAAAUCCCGCUUUCUCCG
Molecule: transfer RNA, 88 nt
Filed under: Butyrivibrio fibrisolvens
Lineage: Bacteria; Bacillati; Bacillota; Clostridia; Lachnospirales; Lachnospiraceae
Also listed under: 4 other names
Rfam family: tRNA
About the family: Transfer RNA (tRNA) molecules are approximately 80 nucleotides in length.
Source: Rfam by way of RNAcentral